GGGGAGGAGGGAGAUGCAGCUUCAAGGCUUUUGCCCUUCCUGAGGGAUCAGAAAAAGCCACGAAGACUCCUCGUAAACAACUUGAGAGAGAGAAUUGUGUCUCCCCUAUGGAGGUGGAUUGCUUGAGACAGAGUUCAAUAGAAGAUGUUAAACAGAUAAGUUGAGGGCAGGGGGACUGAGCUUUGGAAGAGGGCCUUUCAGGCAGCGAGGCCGCUGGCCUGUGGCUCCCUCUGAUGAGCUUCUUCUAAAGAUGGAGAAGAGUCCCUGACCAUUUUUGUGGACAAGCGGAAACUGGGAAGAAAGACAGAGACAACAGGAGGUGCCUCUAUAAUUGGGGGCAGUGGGAACAGCACAGCUGUGUCCCUGGAGACCC
RNAcentral lists this small RNA (373 nucleotides) under Pongo abelii (Sumatran orangutan). RNAcentral describes it as "processed transcript". Lineage: Eukaryota; Metazoa; Chordata; Mammalia; Primates; Hominidae. The record is from RNAcentral.